RNAcentral lists this ribosomal RNA (492 nucleotides) under uncultured bacterium. RNAcentral describes it as "partial 16S ribosomal RNA". It matches the Rfam family "Bacterial small subunit ribosomal RNA", at positions 29 to 507 of the family's 1533-position model. The record is from RNAcentral.
AGUGAACGCUGGCGGUGGGCCUAACACAUGCAAGUCGAACGGCAGCACAGUAAGAGCUUGCUCUUACGGGUGGCGAGUGGCGGACGGGUGAGGAAUACAUCGGAAUCUACUUUUUCGUGGGGGAUAACGUAGGGAAACUUACGCUAAUACCGCAUACGACCUACGGGUGAAAGCAGGGGAUCUUCGGACCUUGCGCGAUUGAAUGAGCCGAUGUCGGAUUAGCUAGUUGGCGGGGUAAAGGCCCACCAAGGCGACGAUCCGUAGCUGGUCUGAGAGGAUGAUCAGCCACACUGGAACUGAGACACGGUCCAGACUCCUACGGGAGGCAGCAGUGGGGAAUAUUGGACAAUGGGCGCAAGCCUGAUCCAGCCAUACCGCGUGGGUGAAGAAGGCCUUCGGGUUGUAAAGCCCUUUUGUUGGGAAAGAAAAGUAGCAGGUUAAUACCCCGCUGUUCUGACGGUACCCAAAGAAUAAGCACCGGCUAACUUCGUG